RNAcentral lists this ribosomal RNA (744 nucleotides) under uncultured Glomus. RNAcentral's name for it is "LSU rRNA". It matches the Rfam family "Eukaryotic large subunit ribosomal RNA", at positions 38 to 633 of the family's 3401-position model. The record is from RNAcentral. Lineage: Eukaryota; Fungi; Glomeromycota; Glomeromycetes; Glomerales; Glomeraceae.
GCAUAUCAAUAAGCGGAGGAAAAGAAAAUAACAAUGAUUCCCUUAGUAACGGCGAGUGAAGGGGGAAAAGCUCAAAUUUUAAAUCUGCUAGGUUUUACCUGUCAGAAUUGUAAUUUGAAGAAGCGUUUUCCGCGUCUUGGUUGGCCCAAAUCCUUUGGGAUAAGGUAUCAUGGAGGGUGAGAAUCCCGUUCGGUUGACCUUAUGACGCUCUACGAUACGCUCUCUAAGAGUCGAGUUGUUUGGGAUUGCAGCUCAAAAUGGGAGGUAAAUUUCUCCUAAGGCUAAAUAUCGGCGAGAGACCGAUAGCGAACAAGUACCGUGAGGGAAAGAUGAAAAGAACUUUGAAAAGAGAGUAAAAUAGUACGUGAAAUUGUUGAAAGGGAAACGAUUGAAGUCAGUCGUACCGACGAGAAAUCAGCUUAUCGUGUGCGAACUUGUGGGCGUGCGUGAGUUUCGGCCUCGCUGUUUGCAUGUUUGUGCGCUUUGGGUGUACUUUUUCGUAUGGUAGGCCAACGUCAGUUUCGAUUACUAUAAAAUGACCGGAGGAAUGUAGCUUCGAUUUCGGUUGAAGUGUUAUAGCCUCUGGUAGAUGUGGUGAUUGGGACUGAGGAUUGCAACGAAUAUCCUUUGGGCUAUCCGUCUGGCCUCUGAAAGUUGCUUAGGUGCUGAAAGCUUGCUUAUGGUUAUCUAAGUUAACGGUCAACAGGUUAGAACGUGAUUACAUUCGUUAAGGAUGUUGACGUA